RNAcentral lists this non-coding RNA (21 nucleotides) under Caenorhabditis elegans. Lineage: Eukaryota; Metazoa; Nematoda; Chromadorea; Rhabditida; Rhabditidae. The record is from RNAcentral.
UUAUAGUGGGAUUUUAUUUCC